This is a non-coding RNA of Lamprotornis superbus, 73 nucleotides long. The record is from the annotation of a GenBank genome assembly. Lineage: Eukaryota; Metazoa; Chordata; Aves; Passeriformes; Sturnidae.
CCUGGGAUUAGCACAGUUGGGUAGAGCAUGGUGUUAAUAACACCAAGGUUGCGGGUUCCAUCCUCUUACAGGA